GAUGAACGCUGGCGGCGUGCCUAAUACAUGCAAGUCGAGCGAACGGACGAGAAGCUUGCUUUUCUGAUGUUAGCGGCGGACGGGUGAGUAACACGUGGAUAACCUACCUAUAAGACUGGGAUAACUUCGGGAAACCGGAGCCAAUACCGGAUAAUAUUUUGAACCGCAUGGUUCAAAAGUGAAAGACGGUCUUGCUGUUACUUAUAGCUGGAUCCGCGCUGCAUUAGCUAGUUGGUAAGGUAACGGCUUACCAAGGCAACGAUGCAUAGCCGACCUGGUAGGGUGGUCGGCCACACUAGAACGGAGACACGGUCCAGACUCCUACGGGAGGCAGCAGUAGGGAAUCUUCCGCAAUGGGGGAAAGCCUGAAGGAGCAAAGCCGCGUGAGUGAUGAAGGUCUUCGGAUCGUAAAACUCUGUUAUUAGGGAAGAACAUAUGUGUAAGUAACUGUGCACAUCUUGACGGUACCUAAUCAGAAAGCCACGGCUAACUACGUG
RNAcentral lists this ribosomal RNA (497 nucleotides) under uncultured bacterium. RNAcentral describes it as "partial 16S ribosomal RNA". It matches the Rfam family "Bacterial small subunit ribosomal RNA", at positions 28 to 507 of the family's 1533-position model. The record is from RNAcentral.